CAAAGAAAGAUUAGUGUCAGCUUGCAGAACUUGCAUACAGGUGCUGCACGGCUGUCGUCAGCUCGUGUCGUGAGAUGUUGGGUUAAGUCCCGCAACGAGCGCAACCCUCGUCCUUAGUUGCUAACAGUUCGGCUGAGAACUCUAAGGAGACUGCCUACGCAAGUAGGAGGAAGGUGAGGAUGACGUCAAGUCAUCAUGGCCCUUACGUCCAGGGCUACACACGUGCUACAAUGGGGUAUACAAAGAGCAGCAAUACGGUGACGUGGAGCAAAUCUCAAAAAUGCCUCCCAGUUCGGAUUGUAGUCUGCAACUCGACUACAUGAAGUUGGAAUCGCUAGUAAUCGUAGAUCAGCUAUGCUACGGUGAAUACGA
This 372-nucleotide ribosomal RNA is filed under the name Aliarcobacter butzleri. RNAcentral's name for it is "bacterial SSU rRNA". It matches the Rfam family "Bacterial small subunit ribosomal RNA", at positions 997 to 1370 of the family's 1533-position model. Lineage: Bacteria; Pseudomonadati; Campylobacterota; Epsilonproteobacteria; Campylobacterales; Arcobacteraceae. The record is from RNAcentral.